CUUACACGCGCGCUAUGAACAGCAGCAACGACGACAAAAAAAGGCUGGAAAGCUGUAGAUCAGCAAUAAAAGAGCAGGCGGCGUCGGGGCAUGCGGGAUCCACAAAAGAACAGGAUGUUGUUGAUUUGUAACGAAACCGCUCGGAGGAAAUGAGUGUGAGUUUUCCUUUGAGCGCUCCUGCCGUCCUCCCUGCCCCCGCGGAUCAACCCGCAGCUCGCGGCUGGACUAAAGCUGUCACAGGUUAAUUGACGGCCUCCGCGUUCGUCCUCAUUUCCAUGACAACACGGACCUCGAUUUCCUGACUAAGGCUAAAUUCAUUCACAAAACACUCGGGUCAACAUGGUCAGAGUGACUGAGCCCAGCAGAGUACUGUAAUUAAACCAGGCACAUCUGUCCUGAUUAGCCAUGCCGGGGUCGAUGGCGAACACACAGCAGCCCUUUUGAUGGACCUGGGGACAGUGCGACAUGGAACACUUCCUGGGCUGAAUAGCACCCCGACACUCGACACCUGGGACAGUGGCGCUACACCGUUGGCACCAGGCCAAGCCCGAUGAGGCACCUUUGUGUACCCAGUCACAGAAAACCUACCUGGAAAGAUCUCUCCGUGCUGGUUCCCAUGCAUUGCUCCACUCUAGCCUGCAUCCCCUUUGUGCCAAACUGACUUGGGACUUGUUUCAAUCUGGACUAUACUUCCUCUCUCUGUAUAAAAAAAAAAAAAAUGAAAAGAAAAGAAAGAAAACGCAUGCAUGCACUUGGCUUCUUUGCCAUGCCCUGGGGCAGUCAGGCACUGCACAUACUUUGUUGUAGAUGUAAAAACAAUUUCUGGGAUUAAUUUGCUGGCCUUGUUCAUGUUGUUGAACAAGAGGUGUCUAGUUUCAUGCUUUAUUUACUGUUGCUUGUCAUGUCUUUAUGUACACUUAGGUUAAAAAGCUUCGGCAGAAAAAGACAGGUUUGACAUAGCAGAAAGUCAAUAAUACAGAGGAAGCACUACUCCUCUGUUCAGCCUACAUAGUGAAAAGCAUAUGCACUAAUGUUAUUAAAAGUGAUAUGAUAACCAUGAAAAACUGUGCCCAUUAAUAGAAAACAGAAGAGAGGAGUAAGAAAACGCCAAACCACAACAAGGCAUGGAAUGACUAGCAUGUGUGUAGGGGCCACUAUGUGUCCAUUAGUGCCAAGGUUCUGCCUCGGGAGUCCCUGUCGGUUUGGGCCGAACCCACCGGUUCGUCCGGCUCCUCAG
Long non-coding RNA from Ictalurus punctatus (channel catfish), 1237 nucleotides. Lineage: Eukaryota; Metazoa; Chordata; Actinopteri; Siluriformes; Ictaluridae. The record is from Ensembl.